This is an RNA transcript of Ictalurus punctatus (channel catfish), 15665 nucleotides long. RefSeq lists it as uncharacterized. The transcript is spliced from 2 exons. The record is from RefSeq and is a predicted model, not a curated record. Lineage: Eukaryota; Metazoa; Chordata; Actinopteri; Siluriformes; Ictaluridae.
UUUAAUUUUGUUUUCCUUUGUUAGUAUACAAAGAAAAAAACUGUGAAUGAUUGUUGCUGUGUGUCAGUCGGUUUGUGUUUCUUCUCAAUAAAAUGACAAGGGUAUUGUUACGCCACGGCCAGCAGAGGGCACUGCGGUACGGCCGCUGACUGGUCACGUGACUCUUUUGUUUUCCUUCACUUCCCGCUUGGACACUGAGUUAAGUUUAUGUCUCUGAUUUGCCACAGGUGUCCAUGUUUUGAGUUAAUUAGGUUUGUUAGUUAAACCCCCCGUUUGACUGCGUACAUCGCGCGGUAUUAAAGUUGGUUCAGUUCGUCAAGUGAGGGAAGUAUCCGGAUAUAUGCUCAUGUGUAGCAUGCUAGCGGUCGUAGCUAGGGGACCAGAGUGAGUAUAGUCCGUAGAGACCGCGCUCCCUGUGUUUGUUUCUGUUUGUUUGUUUCUUGUUCAAAUAAUAAAGACGGUGACCUGCAUCCGCCUCCAGUCUCGUUCCGUGACAGGUAUAAAUAUGAGGUAACACAUAGGCCUAUCAUUCAUAACAAUGGGUAAGACCAAGGAAUACUGUGUUGUGCAGAAAAAGGUGGCUUCACAAAAGUAUUGAAAAUGCCCAUUUUCACCAUCAUGGCAAUAAUUAAGACGUUCCAGUCAACUGGAAAUAUUAUGAAUUAACUUGGAAUUGGACGUGUGUCUAUAUUGUCUCAAUGCACUGUGAAGAGGAUGGUUCGAGUGGCCAAAAAAUCUCCAAGGAUCACAGCUGGAGAAUUGCAGAAAGUGUCAGAAGGGUCAGAAAGUCUCCAAAACUACAAUCCGAAGUCACCUACAUCAUCACAAGUUGUUUGUAAGGGUUUCAAGAAAAAGGCCUCUCACAAAAACAAAAAUAAACAUCUUCAGUUUGCCAGACACUACUGGAACUUCAAAUGGGAUCGGGUUCUAUGGUCAGAUGAAACCAAAAUAGAGUUUUUUGGGAAUAAACACCAGCGCUUUUUUUUUUUAUGUGCACACAGAGAGGUAGCCAUAUGGAAAAGUACCUCAUGCCCAUGGUUAAAUACGGUGGUGGCUCUUUAAUGUUUUGGGGCUGUUUUUCUGUUAGAGGACCUGAACAUUUUGUUAGGUUACAUGGCAUCAUGGACUCUAUCAAAUAAUAACAGAUAUUAAAUGAAAACCUGACUGCCUCUGCCAGAAAGCUUCAAAUGGGCUGUGGUUGGAUCGUCUAGCAGGACAAUGAUCCAAAAUAUACAUCAAAAUCAACACAAAAAUGGUUUACCGACAACAAAAUCAAGGUCCCAUCCCAGUCCCCUGACUUGAAACCCAUAGAAAAUCUGUUGGAAGGAUCUGGAGAGAUUCUGUAGUCAACAACCUCAUCAGGCAUUGUAGUAGAAUACUAUAGGAGAAGACAAGCUGUUAUCUUUGCAAAGGGAGGUAGCACAAAGUAUUGACUAAAAGGUGCCAAUAAUUGUUGCACACCUAUAUUUAACAAGUAUAUUUUUUUGGAUAAACCUGUUUUGUUUGCAAUCGUUUGCUAUCAAUGAGAGCAGAGUAUUUUUGUGAAUUUUCUUACAAAAGAUCAAAAGGUUAAACAAUGAAGACAAUUUUUCACAGCCUUCUUUGCUCAUAUUUACCAAGGGUGCCAAGCAGUGUGCCCAACCCACACAAACGUUGUCUUGGCAAUGAGGAUGCUGAGGCCUUUACCCUAUUGCACUUUAAUUACCAUUUGUACCACAUAUUUCUGUAUUAUUUGUGUGUUGCUGCAGUUCUGGAGGUACACACAAUGUAAAUCACUGUCAUUGGAUCAGAAACACAUGAAACAUGCCCUGAAUAUGGGUCACAAUGUGUCGAGCCACAGAGUGAGUCGUGGAGGAGGACUACAUUCACACUCUUUCCAUCUGGAGCUAUAGUGGGGUGUAUAUACACACUUUUCCAAGGUACAGCCAAUGUGAAUCACUGUCACUGGGUCUGAAGCUCAUGAAACAUGCACUGAAUCUGGGUCACAAUGUGCAAAGCCAGAGUGUGAGCCAGAGAAGCAGUGGGGGAGGACUGCAUCUCACACUCCUUAAAUCUGGAGCUGUGCUGCAGCAGAUUACAGAGCAUGCAUUACUAAACACUAACAUCAAAUGGGCACACGUUACAAAGAUUUUUCAGCACACACAAUGUUCAUUGUAGAAAGUACAUAUAUCAAUAUAUUUAAUGAAACAUUAGUCUCACUCCCCUCCCAGCCCAAUGUGAAACAAUGUUAAGUUAUUGUUUUGGAAACAUCUAGAAUAUUUCUGGUCUGGUGUAACAAAACAUGUAUAACAAGUAGUUCUGUUUUAUGAAUAAAGUCAUACGAAUGAUAUGGGUUUCAUCCACGAAACAAAUAUUUUCAUAUUAGGCUUGUGUGAUAUUGAUUUUUCCCUGUUAAAGAUUUACCAUUUAAAAAAUCUUGUCAUCUGGAACUGCUUGCCAUCUAGUGGCAAUCACAAAAACUCAGCUGGAUGCUGGAUUUUAAGGUGGUUCUGUGGUAUUGAAUAGUAAGCAAUAAUAAAUAAAUAAAGAAAUUAUAAACAUUGCAGUACAUUUUCAAUCUAGUUAUUUUACAAAGCUGUUAUCACAUGUCCACAUGGCUGACAUUUUUCACUGUUGAUUGGCUGCUUCAUGCAUCUGACCCCUUAAAGGUGCAGACGAGCAAAAAAAAAAACCCAAACAAACAAAAAAAACCCCACAGCUUAUUUAAUCACCUUCUAAUUAUAAUCACCAUUAACAUUACUUGUAAAGUGGUAGAUACACUGUACACCUAUUUAAUCUUUUUUAGGUCAAAAUGUUCCUGCUUUAUUCUGUUGCAUGCCAUUUUUUUUCUAUUUUUUUGGGCACAAUGUUUUGGUGGUGUCCAUAAUAAACAAGUUAACUGAUGUUAAGUAUAUGCUUCUUUAGUGUUAGCUAAACUGAACAUAUGUUGAUAGAUUUUAUUUCAUAUUAAUGAACUUAAAGCAUUCUCCAUUUAUCUUAGCAAUAAGUGAGUCUAACAAGGGCGUGUGAGAUAUGAGGAAGGGGUUGGGCUUCAAGCUUUUGUUGACUAAUAUUGGAGAAUUCAAAACAUGUAUUUCAAAUGUUAACACGUAAUUACAGAUUAAUAUGCUGGUUGACUCAACUGUUUCACUGGGGAGAAAAAAAUGCUCUUUUGGCAUAUACGAUUAUCUGCCUAAGCCUUGUACUGCCUGUUCGCCUGAUCGUCUGACCACUGCCUGCCUUGUGACUACCCUUUCUGCCUGACCCUCGCAUUUCGAAAUCAUUCCAAACUGUGCUUGCUUCCGUCUCAGGUACUGUAGCAUAACAGAUUACUUUGCCGUGUUUUAGAAGCAGCAGGUGAGCCAGAAUGGCAUCAAGCCUUAGACAGCCACGGAAGAGCGAAAAACGUCCACGAAUACCAGCUAUCUAUCCUAACGGAGCAGGUGGCUUAUCUGUCUCAAUCCAUGCUAUGCGCUCCCCUGCGCAGUUUCCUCCACUGCCGAUGCCGGAAAGGUAUGCUGGAGAGCCAGAGCAAUGUAAAGGGUUCCUGCUACAAUGCUCUCUGGUCUUUGCCAGCUACCCGGACAUGCCGGAUCACACACUUCCUGGAGCUUUUAACUGGACGCGCUUUGUUAUGGGCUACAGCAGUGUGGGAGCGGGAGGGCGGCACUAUCGUUUCGCUAGAGGAGUUCAUUACACAUUUCCCGCAUUCCUUUGAUCACUCUCCCGACGGAUGGGAGAUGGGAAAGGAACUCAUGAGAAUAACGCCGGGCACACGUGAUGCUGUGGAGUAUGCUCUCGAGUUUCGUACCAUCGCGGCAAGGAGUGGAUGGAGCAAACCGGCCCUCAAGACAGCGUUUUGUCAGGGACUGAACCCAGAGCUGGUGAAGGAGUUAACCUGUCGGGAUGAACAACUCUCCCUCAACUUCACGAUUCAUCUGGACCGAUUGCGCCAGACCAACCGCCCGGCGCUGCGUGAGCCCCAUGUCCCCGUGCCCCCAUGCCAGGAACAGCUGUGGAACCCAUGCAGCUUCACGAGGAGGAGAGGGAGAGGCGUCGCCGAGAGUUCCGCUGCUUUUACUGCAGAGAGGACAACCACCUCGUCCAUCAGUGCUCUCUCAAGACGCCUCUCAAGAGUGGGAACAACAGAGCUCGGCACCAAUGGUGAGUUCCAACCAAUUACGUACUACUCAUGUAUUCGUGCUACUUGUUAUGAUCGAACACUCAGGGGUGUCUACUGUGCUCACAGCACUGAUUGACUAAGGAGCAGCCGGUAACUUCAUCGAUCAGAGAACAGUGCACGACCUAAACCUUCCCGUUCGUCCCCUACUCCAGCCACGUCACAUCCAGUCCAUCGAUGGGUCCCCCGUAGGAGGAGGGAUCAUCUCUCACUCUACAGCACUUCUUGUACUCCAGGUCAGUGCCCUCCAUAGUGAAACCAUAGUCCUUUACGUCACUGUCUCAGCCCGGCACCCCGUCAUUUUAGGCCUCCCAUGGUUGGAGCUCCACAAUCCCCAGGUUUCUUGGGCGGACAAACAGGUCAUCCAGUGGUCUCCGUACUGCCACAAUAACUGCCUGCAAUCCCCAGUUAUCCCAGUGGCAGCCACGACAGUGGAGAGUCCCACUCCACCCAUUCCAGUCCGAGUUCCUCCCGAAUAUCAUGACCUCAUGGAAGUAUUCAGCAAGGAGAGGGAGAGCAGAUUACCACCACACCUAUGAUUGCACAUUUGAGCUCCUACCAGGAACCAGCCCACCGCGAGGUCGAGUGUACCUGCUCUCUCAAGCCGAACAUCAGGCCAUGGAGGAGUAUAUUCAUGAGGCGCUCCAACGGGGAUAUAUCAGACCUUCCACGUCUCCCGCCUCAGCAGGUUUCUUUUUGUGGAGAAGACGGUAGGCAGCCUUAGACCAUGCAUAGACUACCAGGACCUGAACCAAGUUUCUGUUAAGUAGAGUUAUCCCUUGCCACUGGUACCCGCAGCCCUCGAACAACUAAGGUCAGCGAUCAUCUUCACCAAGCUGGACCUACGUAGUGCCUUAAACUUGGUCUGCAUCCGGGAGGGGGACGAGUGGAAAACGGUCUUCAGUACCACCUCAGGUCACUAUGAAUAUCUGGUCAUGCCUUAUGGGCUCUCUAACACCCCCUCAGUGUUCCAACGUCUCAUUAAUGACGUUCUAAGAGACAUGCUGGGGAGGAGCGUCAACACGUACAUAUACUUUGCAUCCCUAGAGGAGCAUGUCGGCCAUGUCUGGCAGGUUUUGCACCGUCUCCUGCAGCAUAAGCUUUACGUAAAGGCCGGAGUUCCAUCGACACAUGAUCUCCUUCUUGGGAUAUGUCAUCAGCCCGAAGGGGGUCACCGUGGACCUAAGUAAGGUUCAGGCAGUGGCGGAGUGGCUCAUGCCACGAACUGUCAAGGAGUUUCAGUGGUUCUUGGUGGGGGCCAUCCUAUCACAGAGAUUAGGAGACAAACCAAAACUUCACCCCGUGGCUUUCUUUUCCCGUAAACCAUCCCCAGCGGAACGCAACUAUGACGUGGAGAACAGAGAACUCUUUGCGGUCAAAUUCACCCUGGAAGAAUGGAGGUAUUGACUGGAGGGCGCCACACACCCGUUUGUUAUUUUCACUGAUCAUAAAAACCUGGAGUCCAUCCUUUACUCCAGGCGCAGGAGAGGCAAGCUGGAGUACCUUGUCGACUGGGAGGACUAUGGUCCAGAGGAGCAGUGCUGGGUCCCACCAUAGGAUAUUCUGGACCCAAACCUGUGUAAGGACUUUCAUGCCACUCACCCAGCGAAACCAGGACCCCAGAGGAGGGGUAGGCCUAGAAAGGACUCGGGUCCUGGAGUGAGCCCUUUUUAGGGGGCUCUGUCAUGUUGUAGUGAACCAGCAACUACAAUUCCCAGAAUGCAACACAAACUACCAACAUUGCCGACGAGGACUACACUUCCCAUAUACACACGCGCGCAUCUUCUCCGGAGUUCUGAUCACACACACGUACACAUGCGCGCGCGCACACACACAGUAUUUAAGUGACAGUUAAAGCAUUACUAGCUUGCGAAGUAAACGCUCAGCAGCCUCGUCUCUGCCGUGAACCAAGCCUUAGUUUCCAUAUUCGCUAACCUGGUUUUGAUAUUUGAUAGUUUCUUGACUACGAUUAUCUGCCUAUUACUGCCUGUUCACCUGAUCAUCUGACCACUGCCUAACUUGUUUCUACGCUUUCUGCCUGACCCUCUCAUUUCAAAGUCAUUCCUACCUGCGCUUGUUUCGUCUCAGGUACCGUAGCGUAACACAUGCUGGACAAGAGCUGUCUCUCCAGUGGAAAUAAAUCUCCCACACACCACAGAAAACUUCCAUUUUUUCCACAACUGCAUUAUGAAAGAUCACGAUUCUGGGGGGAAACCAUAAACUAGCCUUGUUUAUAACCCCGUGACCUCAGAUUAUUCGGUCAUUAUGGGGAAUGAACAGCAAGGGUAUUCAGCUAUGCCAAAGGUGGUGGAGGGGCUUGCAAACUACCUCUCUCCAUUGACGGCAGGAAAAUUAAAGCCACCUCAGCUUUGGUUGGCAAAGCCUAUGCAGCAGCAGGUCUUCCUUGUGGGUCACUGCAUACAGUGGCAGUUUUGUAGGCCUACCAAGCAGACCUGCUGAACGAGCUCGACAACGGGGAGGGAAUUAGGACAAAUCCCUGGUGCAGUGAAGCUGCCACUGCCGCGGGGCAGUGGCAGCUUCACUGCACUAGGGAUUUGUGUCUCCGGCAACCAAGCAAACAGCCCAUCAUAUGGACUAUUCAAUGGGUAGUUUGCUUGUAGCGGAGAGGCAGAUAUGGCUCAGCUUUUCAGAGAUGAGGUAUAAAAGGUAAGGUUUCCCUGCUGGAUGCCCCUGUUGAACCUUUCAGUCUGCAAGGUGGAGUGGUUCGGUGGAACGGCAUCGCCAACAUCUAAGGAAAAACCCCUGAGAGUAAUCAGUGUCACAUGGCGAUGCCUACAUGCUGUGAAAAUUUAGAGGUGUCCCCGGCUUUUAGCCUCGGGUCACAAACUUGGGGCAUCUCCUAAUCGCAAGACGGUAGUGACAGGUGCCUCCCUCACAGGCUGGGGCAUUGGGGCAACUAAUUCUUCUCUGGGCAGAGGGAAAGUUUUUGUCAGUGAGUGCAAUGUACAUUCCGGGCAACCGAAAUGUGGGGGCAGACAUCCUGUUGGGGCAGGGGCUGAGGCCUGGGGAUUGGCGAGUCCAUCCACAAGUGGUAGAGUCCAUAUGGCAGAGGUUCGGCCAAGUGGAAGUGGAUGUGUUCGCCUCCAAGGAGACAACACACUGCCGACUGUGGUUCACCCUCACUCAUCCCGCACCAUUGGGGCUGGACGCCAUGGUGCACACGUGGCCGAGGUCACGUCUGUAUCCUUUUCCCCUGAUCGCCUUGCUCCCACAAGUUCUAGCGAGAGUUCGCCAAGACCGUCUACAUCUGCUGCUAGUAGCACCUUAUUGGCCAGCUUGAAUAUAGUUCUUAGAGAUAAUAUGCCUGCUAGAUGGCACUCCUUGGGAGAUUCCCAUUCACAGGGAUCUACUAUCUCAAGGGUAAGAGUUGAUUUAUCACCAUCAUCUGGAACUAUGGAAACUGGGUCUGGCCCCUGAGGGGCACCAGUUCAUAGAUUCUUGUCUCUCAACUGAGGUUGUAGAGACCAUGUUGAACUCUAGAGCAUAAUCCAUGAGAAAAUUGUAUGCAAUCAAGUGGUGACUUUUUGUCUCGUGGUGUGAGGAACAUCAGUUAGACCCAGUAAACUUCUCAAUAGCUACAAUCCUGGAAUUCUUACAAGGACGUUUCUCAGCAGGGUUGGCUCCUUCUUCAAUCAGCAUCUACGUGGCCACCAUUUUGACCUGCCAUUCCCCUAUUGAUGGAGCUUCUGUGGGGCAACAUCCUCUAACAUAGAGGUUUAUGCUUGGUGUCAGGCAGCUGAGGCCCAUGUGCAGAUCACGCAUACAUUCCUGGGAUAUUUCUGUGGUCCUGGAAGGCCUGUCUGGUGCCACAUUUGAGCCCUUAAGCCCUGUUCACACCGGAACGAUUUUUGCAGAGUGAAAAAUGGUCCGUUUAACGCCUCAAUGGUCGUCACUGGGAGUGUUCACACCCACGUGUAAAACACGUGGUGUCAGAGCUUAAUUUUUUUUUAACGUCAAGGGGUUAAUGACCAACAAGAUUCACGCUUUUGUUCACAUGCCCGGAGCCGCUGAAGUUACAUGAAUGUGUGACGUGAUGGCUCGAGUACAAAACUGUCUUACAGAUGAAAAAGAAGCCGAAAAAGUAGAUGAAGAAGAUGCCAGCACCCACCAUUUUAGUGAGUGUGCAUGAGUGACAUAAGUGAAAUAAAAUGCUCACUGCUAAUAAAUUCCUUCUGCCUAUUGUAAGGAUCCGGCUAGAUCCUCUUGGGUUUCGCAGGAAAGUUGAUAUAACUCAGCCGGACACAAAGUGAAAGUGCUGUUCUUCGUUUAUUACACUGCAGGAUACCAUAGGCUUACGCAUGGUUACAGGUCGGUCAUUAGAAGAGGAUUAACAGAGUAAACAUCCCGAAGAUGAUACAUUAACGUGAGACAGCGUGUCAACACCACGAUGUAUAGGUCACAGAGAGGGAGAACAGGGCGGCGACCACACCCCUUGACCCCACAUGACAUCAUCAUAGCCGAUCAUUACAGUACACACAUAAACAAGGUAUCCUUUGAAUGUACUAGAUUCAAAAUUACACACUAAGUACUAAAUAAUCUUUUAUGUUGUGGCUAUUUUUUGAUGACACUAAAAUGCAAGCAUAUAUUCUAAAUGAUUCAUUUAAUUCUUUCAGUGUUGUUUUCUACACUAAAUAUCAUUGUUUGUUUCUUUGUCUCUUCCCUGCAAAUGAUAAUCCGCUGAUUGACAGAUUUAAUUUUCACCUGACAUAUAUAUGCAUGGUCACGGGGGAACCUGGAGCCUAUCCCAGGGAGCAUCGGGCACAAGGUGGGGUACACCCUGGACAGUCCAUCGCAGGGCACACAAUCAUUCACACACUACGGACACGCCAAUCAGCCUACCAUGCAUGUCUUUGGACUGGGGAAGGAAACCGGAGUACCCGGAGGUAACCCCUGCAACAAGGGGAGAACAUGCAAACUCCGUACACACAGAGCCGUGGGAAUUGAACCCCAACCCUGGCGGUGUGAGGUGAACGUGCUAACCAGUAAGCCACCGUGUGCAAAAGAGAUACCAGUCUUUUAUAUUAUCCAGACAAAUUUCAAGUAUUCAUACAUUAAAUCUAAUAAAUGUCCUCAUCAAUUUAUAUGAUCCUUAUCAUAUCCUAUUUCUUUGGGUUUUUUUUUUCUUCUUAUCAAUUAAAAGGACCCUUCACAAACCAGAGCAGGCAAAACAACAUAUAUUUACAUAUGUUGAGCUUGGGUAUUGUUCAUAGCUUGAAUCGUAUCUCGUAUCCAGUUCAAAAUAAAGAAAACCCACCCCUAAAUACAAAUAAAAUACAAUUAGCACAAAGUAACUAUUGAAUUUACAAUAUCCAAUAAGAAUGAAAAACAUCAAGAGAGAGUUGCACUUACAUUUUCCCUAGCAUGAGUGGUUUAUCAUCAGUCUCCAUUUAAAUCAGGUUACUUGCACAACUUCUCUCCAUGGAAGGCUUCAGCAGGAGAUUCAAACAUUCCAUAAACAGCGGGAGAGUAGGACAUCAACGAGAGUAAAAUGAACUGAGCCAUGUGAAACGCUACCAUGUCUCCUGACACCGGACAUUUUUCUUUCCGCUAUAGUGAUGACGUCACAUCCACCUGCUUGUUAUUUAAAGGGAAACACCGCUUUCAUUAGUGGAGUUCAUCACAUGAAGUUCGCUACAGUGUGAAACAGCAUAUUCUGAUGUUGUAGACUGAUGUGCUCAUCUGCAAUAAAGAAUCCUGAUACUUCCAAGAUUCCUGGUCAUCCCUACAAAUUCCCAAUAAUAUAAAUAGAUUUUAUCCAAAUAUGGAAUUACAGUGUUCAGUUGGGUGUUUUACGAAUGAACAGUGUCAUAAACAGAGCUAUGGUUUCGUUUCUCCUGUGAUAAAAGCAGUAUGUGACUACAGAUCAGAUGUCUCUUACUGCUUGUUACAUAUGUACCUUGUAACAUGCUAUAUUGAUUCUAGGCAGUUUUUAUUCCAAGGAGCUAGCAUCCUGCACUGAGAUACUGAGAACUGAGCCAAAAGUGUGGUUCAUUGUCUCAUACAAGAAUCUCCGGUAUGCCAUGUCUGGCAAACAAUGAUUUGAAAUGCACCACUACAUCUUCAAAUAUUGUAAGGGUGAGUUUUGCAAUUUCCACAAACGUUGAGUAGUAGUCUACAUCUAGCAGGUAAUUACUGUGGUUCAAUGUGAAAAUAACAGCCCUCAGUGUCUGCCAUGGUGUUUCUGGUGACUUGCAUGGCCUGAGACGUUGCACAGGGUUGGCAUACAUGCUAACAGUUUGUCACAAGCUCAUUCAUUUUACUAUGCCCAGAUGUCUUUCAUGAAUUUUCUCUAGGACACUGUUUCACAUGGAAAGCCUUUAAGAAGAAGGCCAUUGUGACACAUUAGUGAUGGUCGCUCUGGCCAGUACUGUAUCAGAACUCCAUCCCGAGUGGUGUGGAUUGGCCAUCCUGUUUGACAUAAUGCCAUGACUUUGGGAAAGACGGUGUCUGCUUAGAUUUCAAACCAUCCAUCCAUCUUCUACCACUUACUCCUUCUUCAGGGUCACGGGGGAACCUGGAGCCAAUCCCAGGUAGCAUCGGGCACAAGGCGGGGUACAGGGUGGCAGUCCAUCGCAGGGCACAAUCACAUGCACACUCACACACCCAUUCAUACACUACGGACACUUUAGACACACCAAUCAGCCUACCAUGCAUGUAGGUAGGAGAAAACCGGAGCACCCGGAGGAAACCCCCGCAGCACGGGGAGAACAUGCAAACUCCGCACACACAUGGCCCUGGCGGGAAUCGAACCCCAGACCCUGAAGGUGUGAGGCAAACGUGCUAACCACUAAGCCACCAUGCGAUUUCAAAUCAAUCAAUUGGUCACGCACACAACCAUACACAGUAUGACAUGCAGUGAAAUGCCUUUUACCACUGUCCAGUGACAUAAAAGUAAAUUUACAUAAAAACAGAAUUUAGUUUCAUGGAAAAAGAACAUAUAAAAUUGUAGAUAUAAAAUAUAUAAAAGAUAGACAGAAAAAUAUUUAAAGCAUAUAUUCUUAUGAACUGUAUGUGGCAUAAAGUGCAGAUAAGUGCAGCUGUAUGAGCUGAGGUAACUGCAGCAAAAAAGCUAAUAAUACUAUGUAUAUAUAGUAUAUAUAUAUAGUACCUCACAAAAGUGAGUAAACCCCUCACAUAUCUUUUCAUGUGACAACACUGAAGAAAGUGAAUGUACAGCUUGUAUAACAGUGUAAAUUUGCUGUCCCCUCAAAAUAACUCAACACACAGCCAUUAAUGUCUAAACCACUGGCAACAAAAGUGUGAGUACAAAAGUGAGUAAGUGAGUCUUUUACUGCUGCACAUGAUGAAACAGAAAGUCCAUCGAGAGUUACUAUGAGAUCAGAAAGCUUACUUCUAGCUACACGUGGUCUUAGUACAAGUACUUCUGUCUUAUCAGAAUUAAGUAAAAGGAAGUUAAUUAGCAUCCAAUCUAAUGUCCUUUACACAUUCCUCAACUUUACUAAGCUGCUGUCCGUCCUCUGGCUUUGCUGAAACAUACAUCUGUGUAUCAUUAGCAUAACAAGGAAGCUAAUUCCAUGUUUAUGAAUAAUUUGACCUAAAAGUAGCAUAUAUAAAGUAAAAUGCAGUGGGCCUAAAACAGAAUCUUGUGGAACACCAAAUUUAACCUCAGUAUGUGUGAAGAAGUCGCCAUUUACAUCUACGAACUGAUACCAAUUGGUCAAAUAAGACCUGAGCCAGGAGAGGACUGUUCCCUUAAUGCCAACAACAUUUUCUAAUCUAUCAAGGAGAAUAGUAUAAUCUAUAGUAGCAAAAGUUGCACUAAGGUCGAGUAAUACAAGCAACGAGACACAACCCUGAUCAGCGGCCAGUAGUAGGUCAUUUACUACUUUACCUAACGCUGUCUCUGUGCUAUGAUGAGGUCUAAACCCUGACUGAUACAUUUCAUGAAUGUUAUUCCUAUGCAAGUAUGAGCAUAGCUGCUGUGCUACAACCUUUUCUAAGAUCUUGGAGGUGAAGGGGAGAUUUGAUAUAGGUCUAUAGCUGGACAGUUGAGAGGGUUCAAGUGUAACUGGUUGUAGUCUGCAUUGUGUGUUUUAUUUUAUUCGAAGAAAAAUAGGUGGACGGCAACUGGGUCGACUCUUUGUUUAUUCUCUCUCCUCUCUCUCACUCCCAUUCAACCAUAACGUGAAAGGGCACCUCUCCCAUUCAACCAUAAUGCGAAAGGGAAGAGGAGGAGCCAAAACAGGAAAUUAUACAAACCAAUGACAUCAUGACAAUUAAAAGGAAAAAUACUCAGACAAACAGACAGCCACAUCAGAUGCACAUCCUUUUUGUGUAAUUCUACACAUUAAAUUGAUGGAAUGUUUUCCAUACCCGUUACACAAGGUCAGGUUUUUUAAUCAGGGGUUUAAUAAUUGCUAAUUUAAAUGAUUUACGUAAAUAGCCAGUGCUAAAGGAAGAAUUGGUUAUAUAUAAAAGCGGUUCAAUUACUCCAGGAGAAAUCUGUUUAAAGAAACAUGUAGGUACAGGAUCUAGUAUGCAAGCUGAUGAUUUCGAUGAAAGAGAUUAAUGUAGCUAGUUCGGUCUCUCUAAGGGGAGUAAAACAUUCUAAACUUUGAUCUGAUAUUGCUAUAUUAUCAUCUAUAGGGUUAGUUAUAAUACUGUCUGGUUUUAAUUUAAUAGCCUGAAUUUCACAUAUAAUAUUUUCAACUUUACCAAUGAAAAAUUUCAUGAAAUCUUCGCUGCUAUGUAAUGAUUGAGUGCUUCUUUCUGUAGUGGUUUUAUUCCUGGUUAAUUUUGCUACCAUGUUGAAUAGAAAUCUUGAAUUGUUUUUGUUAUCUUCUAUUAAGGUGGAGAGAUAGACUUUUCUAGCAUCACUAAGAGAUUUUCUAUAGUUCAGUAGGCUCUCCUUCCAUGCUAUUUGAAAUACUGCCAAUUAUGUUGCCAAAGUUAAUGUUUUAUUUUGUCUUUUAAAGUUUUCGCUGAUGCGACACCUGUCUCCACAGUGACACCUAGUGGUCACUUGCAGGUGUUGAUCUGAAACAUCCUUGAAAACGAUUCAGACAGGCAUUGACGAAUUAUGACCUACAUGUUGUUUGCCUCAAACAUCGAAGUGUGUGGGGCAUGUUGCUGCCUUGGGUUCGAAUCCUGGGUGAUGUCUGCUAUCCACAUCAUUAUAAGAGAUGUUUAAAAAUUAGUGAGUUUUUUAAUUGUUGUUGUUGUUGUUUUUUUUUAUGUGUUGAGUUUUUAACAACUGUCUGACAACUAGGCUACAUGAGCUUGGUUUUGAGCCUGUAGGCUCUUCAUUGUAAAUAUCUAUAUUUAAUUCUGGUCAUGAAAAAUUAAGAUUAAUAAAUGCAAAACUGUCCAAAUUCUUUCUUGCCUAGGUAAUAACCCACAGCAUCUGGCCAUGUCGUCUUUAUUUUUAUCAGGAAAUUUGGUGGGAUUUCACGUCAGAUUAUUAACAAGGCAUCCUGAGGCGAGCACUUACCAUGGAUCAGUACAAACAUUAUUGAAUCAUUUCCGUUUUAUACCGGAAAACAGUUUAACUUGUAUAGUAAACACUGAUUCAUUGGUUCACCUGGAGAUCAGCACCCCCUAGCGGUGAACCAUGGACAAACGUUUCGAAACAGUAUUACGUAAUGAAGCCGCGUUUGCUGAAAUCACGUGACUUGGCCAGUUUGAUAAGCGCUCCGAACCACUGAUUCGAAACAAAAGAUCCAUAAAGGUUUCAAACCUUCAUAAAGCAGUGUUUUGAAAGCGCCAAUCACUAUUAAAUAAGAGUGUACCAAAAUACCGUAUACAUGUAAUUUGCUAGAAGGAUUAAUAUGGGUUUAAAGAAGUCUUCGUCGGAUUGAGCCUGCAGGGCGGCGUUUCGGCACUGCUGCUUUUUGUCUUCGGUCUGUUUCUGGCAUGACGUGGCGUGCGUGCAUGCUUGAAUUCACCUGUGUGCUUGUGUGACAUAUAAGCUCGAUGGGUGCACGUGGUGGUAUAAGAUGUUUCCUACGGGCGGAGGGUGUUGUGUUGGUAUAUAGCACUGCUAAACUUGACUGUAAUUUAUGUGUUCGAGCUUGUGGGAACGCUGGAGUGUGACUGCUUAGUUAUGCUAAGCCAAUUUUAAUGAAUUGUGUUUAAUACUACAGUGUUAAAUAAAGACAUUUGUAUAUAUCCUCGUCUGAGACCAUUCCAUGAACAACAGACCUGUGUGCCCGUUUUGGGUGGUUAGGUUAAUUUCACUGUAUAACAGGGUUAUUAUAAAUAUAUAAUAUAUAGCUACCCGAGUGUUCAAACACGCACUCUGCCACAAUACUAAGAACAAACACAACAAACAUGAAGACAAACCUUUUUACUCGGGUAAAGAUUGGGACAUGUGUCUGUUGCCUAAACUUCAGCUGUCCGUAUACCGUCAUCUAAUUACAAUUACAAAGGCUUGACUGGUCUUUAUUUUGUAAUAUUUAGAAGUACUUGCAAGUUACCAUGGUAAAUUACAUACAUUAAAAUCAUAGGCAGAGUUGCAAAUAGCACAGGCAGAUAACGCAAAAUGUCUCUCACAUGUGCGGUUUGAAUGCAGUUUAAAGGUGUAACCAGAAAAAAAAACCCAUCAUUGAUUAAUUCAUUCCACAUACAUGUUGUAAUCAGAUAAAGUUUAGAAAAAUGCUUGGAUAAAACUUCACGUUACUUACCAGUGUGUGGGAUAUUACUGUGCUAAUGUAGUGUUCGUGUGCUUACGAACUCAAGCGAGCUCAAUCACCCCUUUGCCUGAUUAAAACACGCAAUAGGCCUACCGAUAACCGAUUAUUCAGUGUGAUAUUGGCCAAUGCCGAUAGUUUGGUGGUUUUGCCUUUUAUACCUUCUUUUAAAUUAAUAAUAAAUUGUUUCACAAUAACUGGUCUCAUAAACAGAAAACACAUUACUUAAAUAAACAUUAAAACGGUAACUAAGUUCUGAAGAUUAAAGUCACUCACUCACCACAAACAAAAGCAUUUCUGCUUCUUCACUGAACAUCAAAAUGGUAAUAUAUAAUAGAACUUUGUGUAAAGAUGAUGAGUCUUGUGUGGAAUGACAACAAAAUUGCAGUUUGUAAGCUCUGCACCGCUAAACUUUUACACUGCACGCUGCAGCAAAGCUGAAGCAGUGCGUUUUUUUACGGCGUGCAUGUUAACAAAUGAGUGCUUUUACUGUGCAGUAGUAAAGAGUUGAGUCAAUUUUUUUUUGCCACACUGAAUUAAAGCUCCAGUGUACUGUUGAAAGAUUUAAAUGAAGAUGAGUUGACAAAAAUACGUAUAUAUUGCACAGAAAAAUAUAUUUGUAGAGUAGUAUAUUUCAUAUGCAGUUAAUGUUAAUAUAUAUAAAAAAUAUAUAUUAUAUAUUACCAGUUUGAUGUUCAAUGAUGAGGUAGAAAUGCCUUAGUUUGUGGUGAGUGAAGGUGAGCCUAACAGGAGGUUUUUUAGAAUUACAUCUGAUAAUAUGAAUUAAUAACAUUCAGUAAGUUAAGAAAUCUUACUUUAAUCUUCAGAAUUUAGUU